ACUAAGUUUCAACAACGGGUCUCUUGGCUCUCGCAUCGAUGAAGAACGCAGCGAAAUGCGAUAAGUAAUGUGAAUUGCAGAAUUCAGUGAAUCAUCGAAUCUUUGAACGCACCUUGCGCUCCUUGGUAUUCCUUGGAGCAUGCCUGUUUGAGUAUCAUGAAAU
This 163-nucleotide ribosomal RNA is filed under the name Rhizoctonia solani AG-5. RNAcentral's name for it is "5.8S ribosomal RNA". It matches the Rfam family "5.8S ribosomal RNA". From Rfam's summary of the family: 5.8S ribosomal RNA (5.8S rRNA) is a component of the large subunit of the eukaryotic ribosome. It is transcribed by RNA polymerase I as part of the 45S precursor that also contains 18S and 28S rRNA. Functionally, it is thought that 5.8S rRNA may be involved in ribosome translocation. The record is from RNAcentral. Lineage: Eukaryota; Fungi; Basidiomycota; Agaricomycetes; Cantharellales; Ceratobasidiaceae.